Molecule: ribosomal RNA, 773 nt
Filed under: uncultured Neocallimastigales
Lineage: Eukaryota; Fungi; Neocallimastigomycota; Neocallimastigomycetes; Neocallimastigales
Description: partial large subunit ribosomal RNA
Rfam family: Eukaryotic large subunit ribosomal RNA
Source: RNAcentral
CGCAUCUGUGCAUGCAGCAUAUCAAUAAGCGGAGGAAAAGAAACUAACAAGGAUUCCCCUAGUAACGGCGAGUGAAGCGGGAAGAGCUCAAAUUUGAAAUCUUAAAGGGUUUCCCUUUACGAAUUGUAGUUUAAAGAAGUGUUUUCUGUUGAGGUUUUGGUAAAAGUUCUUUGGAAUAGGACAUCAUAGAGGGUGAGAAUCCCGUAUUUGACCUUUACUUUCAACUUUGUGAUACACUUUCAAAGAGUCGGAUUGUUUGGGAAUGCAGUCCAAAAUGGGUGGUAAAUUUCAUCUAAAGCUAAAUAUUGGCGAGAGACCGAUAGCGAACAAGUACCGUGAGGGAAAGAUGAAAGAACUUUGAAAAGAGAGUUAAACAGUACGUGAAAUUGUCAAAAGGGAAGCGUUUGACACCAGUGUUGUUUUUCUGAAAAUCAAUUAAAGAACUGUUUAUGCUAAGUUGUUUAGACUUUAUCAGCUAACUGUUUAGUUUUGAGCUUUUCUUUAAUGCACUUUUCAGUUAACAAGUCAACAUCAAUUUCUUUUGCUGUAAAAAAGCUUGAGGAAGGUGGCUUGAGAUUCGUCUUAAGUGUUUAUAGCCUCUUGCCUAUGCAGUCGGAGAGAUUGAGGUCUGCAGCGUAGAUCCUUCGGGGCUAAAUGCAUUUGUGCUAAGUUAUAGCAUUUUAUAGACAACUUGUUGACUAUGAUUUGUCUUGUAGCUUACUCGCUUAUGUUAUUUUACCUACGCUUAGGAUGUUGAGUCAUCACACAUCUCU